Molecule: long non-coding RNA, 1129 nt
Organism: Larimichthys crocea (large yellow croaker)
Lineage: Eukaryota; Metazoa; Chordata; Actinopteri; Sciaenidae
Exons: 3
Source: RefSeq, a predicted model, not a curated record
GAAGUCACAUGGUUUACAGAAAGUGGGCUGCAAGUUAAAGAGCAGAGAAGAGGCAAUGAGCUGCAGUCAGUCAGAAGAACAAACACAGUUUACAGUCAGUCUGUCAGCAGAUCCUCUCCUAACUUUAUUCAACCAAACUUUCAGCUGCAGUCUUUAAUGUAAACAGGAAGUAGAGUUCUGUUUACUUCCUGACUUGUGGAUGUUGAUCGAGCUGAGUUAGUGUCAGUGUUUACCUUCCAGUGAACACGGCUGAACACAGCCUCUGCAGGAGGACAUCAGAGGGAACCGCAGCAAAUAUAAUGUGAACAAAAUCUGAUCCAGUUUGAAUAAAGUUCUGAAGCUGUGGUUCUGUACAGUAAUCAGUGAGGCCCGGACAUGACUGUAGCAGCCCUCACAUUCAGUCAAUGACUGAAUCAGACUUUGGUGUGUGUUCCUCUCUUGUUCCCAUGCAUCAGUGUUUAGUUCUAGUUUUUGUCUAUGUGUGACCUUAAUGACCCACAGGUGACCUCGACGACCCACAGGUGACCUCUGUUAUGGAUUAUUACCCCUAAAAUAUACAGCACGCAGAACGGCUGCACAACAGCUCCGCUACAGAACGGCUGCGUACUCAACUCCAACUCACACAUAAUCCGUUUGUGAUGCACUCAGAGGGCUGCCGGUUGCUACAGUCGUUCCAGAGCUGUGACGCAGCGGGGACGGAGACUGUGUGAGCUGACACAUUGACUAACAUGAAACUUGAAAGUGUGUCUAAUUCUCCUUGGCUAAGCGUCAAUAAAUAAUACAGCAUAAGACAUCAGAGGCUCCUGAACACUUUCUUCCUUCCUGACCUCACCAUUGACCUUUGACUUCAGCAAUUUCUCCACAUCAACCUUGACGACCCACAGGUGACCUCAACAACUCACAGGUGACGUAGUACACAGGGGACUUAUGCAGUGGCUCUGCUACACAGAAACACAUCCACAUAUGAAUCUAAAUCCUCUUUCGACUCAUUUUCAUUCAUUCAUUCAUUCACCUUCUUGCAUGGCCCUGUUAGCCUGUCCAAUACAAACUGGUAGCCAUCUGAUUUCUUCACAAAACACUUCCACUGUCAUGCAGUGAGACUGAAAGUGGUGUGUUCAUUUCAGAGGGU